GGUCCCGUAGCUCAGCUGGAUAGAGCAGCUCCCUCCUAAGAAGCCGGUGGCUGUUGGUGUGGCCCGGCACAAGUGCUAUUUAAAAUAUUGAUUUCAUUGCCCAUGUGAAAGCAUAAACUACGGGGCCA
This 128-nucleotide transfer RNA is filed under the name Geothrix oryzae. RNAcentral's name for it is "tRNA-Arg". The record is from RNAcentral. Lineage: Bacteria; Pseudomonadati; Acidobacteriota; Holophagae; Holophagales; Holophagaceae.